RNAcentral lists this long non-coding RNA (372 nucleotides) under Setaria viridis. Its description in RNAcentral is "long non-coding RNA (SVIR_LNC009673)". Lineage: Eukaryota; Viridiplantae; Streptophyta; Magnoliopsida; Poales; Poaceae. The record is from RNAcentral.
GGAGGUUACUGGGUUAGCACUUAGCGGUUGCAUACUUGCAUAGCAUACAUGGGCCGUGUUGGGCCGGAAACAAUUCAGGGAAAAAAGGAAAAUCUUCACCCAAAUACGGGAUUCCGAAAAUACGGCCAAAAAAACGUUGUUCCGUUUCCGUUUCGACAACCUCCAUCCCGAAUUCCGAACCAUUUCGGGAUUUUCACGAACUGUUUCCAGAUUUUUUCUUAAAAAAGGAAAUGGGCGGGUUAAAUGUGGAAAAAUGGCCGGGCGGAAACGGGAUUCUUUCCGUCUGUUUUCAACACUAUUCACGUUGGGCAUGCGUAUUUCAUAGUUUUGUAUAGAAAAUAUGUGUCAAAGGCAGAAAAGAUUAUGUUUGUG